Molecule: ribosomal RNA, 385 nt
Filed under: uncultured eukaryote
Lineage: Eukaryota
Also listed under: 1 other name
Description: SSU rRNA
Rfam family: Eukaryotic small subunit ribosomal RNA
Source: RNAcentral
AGCUCCAACAGCGUAUAUUAAAGUUGUUGCGGUUAAAAAGCUCGUAGUUGGAUCUCGGCAAGCAGGGGCCGGUUCGCUCCAUAGCGUUACUGGCCCAUUUGCUUGUGUGAUUGGCGGAGGUUUCGGGGUGCUCUUUACUGAGUGUCCCGGGGCGCCGUCAGGUUUACUUUGAAAAAAUUAGAGUGCUCAAAGCAAGCUUUUCACGCUUGAAUAUUCGUGCAUGGAAUAAUAGAAUAGGAACUCGUUUCUAUUUUGUUGGUUUUCGGAAAUCGAGUUAAUGAUUAAUAGGGACAAUUGGGGGCAUUAGUAUUCAGGCGACAGAGGUGAAAUUCUUGGACCGUCUGAAGACUAACUACUGCGAAAGCAUUUGCCAAGAGUGUUUUCA